RNA transcript from Syngnathus typhle (broad-nosed pipefish), 2165 nucleotides. It is a transcript of the gene named galectin-8-like, with no coding region annotated. The transcript has 10 exons. The record is from RefSeq and is a predicted model, not a curated record. Lineage: Eukaryota; Metazoa; Chordata; Actinopteri; Syngnathiformes; Syngnathidae.
CUGUAAACACAAGUCACGUGACAGAUGAGUCUCGAGUUCGAAUCACGUGACCGCCGUGACGUAGACGGAAAUACAAAGUUCGGCCGUUGCGACAUGCAAGAAGGAAAAUGUCGCUUAAUGAAAGCAGGCAAACGUUUGUCAAGCCGGCGAUCCCGUUCUCGUGGACCAUCCGAGGUGGACUCCUUCGUGGCGAGAUGAUCCUCAUCCAGGGAUCGCUACCUUCUGACGCAGACAGGUUCCAGGUGGACCUGACGUGCGGCAGCAGCAUCCAGCCGCGCGCCGACGUCAUCUUCCAUUUGAACCCGCGCGUGAGCAAAGGUCAGGUGGUGUGUAACACGCUGGAGCGGGGUCACUGGGGCAGCGAGGAGAUCUUUCAGCGCAUGCCCUUUGCCAAGGGCGCCCGCUUUGAGCUGCUGUUGCUGGCCCUCGACGACGUCUUCAAGGUGGCGGUCAACGGCGCUCACCUGUUGGACUACAAACAUCGACUGUCGCCGGAGCGGGUCAACACCCUGGCCGUCUCGGGAAAGGUCCACGUCGACGUGGCUGCCGUUCUACCGCAAUCUAAGACGGCUUCAUCGUCCGCUGGCGCCUCGCCGACCGACGAAGUGCCCGAUGACAUCGCAAGUGCGCACAUGCUCGUCAUGUCAGCUGAUCCGCGCGGCGGGUUCCAAAGCGAGCUGGCUGGCGGUCUCCGUGUGGGCAGCAGCAUCGUCAUCCGAGGACACGCCAAUCAAGGGGCAGAGAGGUUUGCCAUCAACCUGUACGUGGGCGACGGAGACGACAGGGCGCUGCACCUCAACCCUCGCUUCAAAAAGAAGAUGAUCGUGCUCAACUCCUUCCUGUCCGGUUGCUGGGGCAAAGAGGAGCACCAAGCGGAUGUUUUCCCCUUCGGACCGGGACUCUACUUUGAGAUCAUCAUCCGCUGCGACGUGGACUCGUUCCGCGUGGCCGUCAACGGCGUCCACCAGCUGGACUACAAAUACCGAGUUCAGCGCCUGACGAGCAUAACGCGACUGCAAGUGACAGGCGACCUGUCGCUGAUGGACGCCCGACUGAUGUGACGUCAUCACGGCGAGUCACAUGAAGGCGAGAAGGUCAGACGUAUUCCUGCCGGCUGUAACUGUCCUUCACAUCCCGCUCGGAGGCGACGGGAGAUUUUUCCCUGCCGACCCUUUGCGGACGCCACCUCUCCGCCCGGGUCGGCGCCAUCUCCGUGGGGGUCGGGUAGUCCUGCGAGGCCGACCCCGGACAGGACAAGCAAAAGAUGACGCCUGCCGCCAAGAGGAAGCCGGCGGAGACGAAGGUGACGCAGAGCGCCCCGCCGGGCUGGUAUUUGCUACCGUCGGCUUGCCGGGCGCUCAUGAAGGCGGCCACGACCUCGGACGUGAACCAGGACGCGGGGCCCAGGCACAAGGCGGCGGCCAGGACGAAGCAGCCCCCCGCCGUCACGGCCGUGCGCCCCUUGGCUCGUUGGCCGCCUCCCCAACGGGUGCAGCGGAGCCCAAGAGAGGCCAAGCACAGACCGAAGGCGGCCAGCACGCAGGACAGGACCAUGGCGGCCCGGGUGGUCUGCAGGUAAGGGGGCAGCGCCAGCGGCGGGGACUUGUUGGUGGUGCAGCUGAAGACGCCCGCCCCGUACCAGACGCAGUCCAUCCACAGCCCCCGCGUGUGCCACAUGGGGGCCACCAUGCUGGACCACACCCUGAUGCUCACCUGCCAGUUGGGAAGCAGCGUGGCCACCGUGGCGCCCAGCGUGCCCAGCAGCGCCAGGACGAACGCCAGGAUCUGCGCGGCGGCCGAAAGCAUCGCUACCAGUCCUGAAGUAAGAGAAGGCGGGUGAGGCUCCGACUUGGGUUCUUUUUCGCCUUCAUCGUCGCUGUCGUCGUCUUCGCAGGCUUCUUCGUCAUCUGCAGCAGAGCGACAAUUGAACAACGUGCAUGAAAAUUAUUAUCUGCAGGUUAAUCGAUCAAUCCGGCCAAACAUUCCCCAAAUGCACAAUCAUUUUGGAGCCUUAUUGUUAUUUUGCGUUGGAGCAGUUUGCGUUCUGGGUGCUUACCAGCUGCGCAGCCUGCAGCGACUUUUUCCUUGUCUACGAGCUCGCUGAGAAUCCGUGAGACGUUCUCGCUCAUUUUGUGAAGCCCUGUGAUUAAAGACGGGAGCGUGUU